CUUUAAUAAAGAACAAGUAUGAUAAUUAGGGUUGUGGAGUUCUAUGGUUUACUAUGGUUCUAAUUGGUUCUAAAGUAAGGAUUAGAUGGAUCACAACAAGGUUGGAUUCAUCGACACCUAGGCUUGUAAGGUUGAGUUAAGCUUAGGCAUUCUAAGCAAUUAUUUAUACAUGGUUGCUUUUAAGCCUGAUUCAUCUUGCUGGUGAUAGCUAGUUAGGGUUUAUAGAUCCUUAUAAGCAGGGUUUAUGAUGAUUCUUUAUUUACUUCAAAAGAAUAACUUUUGAAGAACAUAUUGCUUAAGUAAGAAGAAGUAUCUCAAUUAAGGUUGAGAUUAUCUAGGGUUUGCUAUUGGAUCCACUAAGUAUGGAAUAGUUAGUUCCUAAAUAGUAUGGUUCAUAACUAUCUAACAUUAGUAGGUUUAGUGGAGUAUAGUAUGUAAGUUUAAACAUUGGGCAUAGUUGCUAUUGGAGUUCAUCACAAUGGUGUGGUGCUAAUUAAGGUUAAUUAAGGAUUAUAUCUCUAAGGAUAGGAACUAGGGUUGGUUUUAUUUUAUCUCAUUUAAUAUUGAAGGAACAAUUUUUUGAAUAAGGGUUUGAUUUAAGAAACAACUUUUAAAUACAAUUUAACAAUGAUAUUACAACUAUAAGGCCUAACGAGGAAUAUACAUGACCUCCUAAUGUGACUCAAUACUUAGUUAUGAUUUUUCCUUAUUCUUAUGAGUUUAAAAUAAUUGAGGAAAUAAUCUUUUAGAACUAAGAUAAAAGUUAGAUUAUUGUUGUUUGGAUUAUUAGGUGCUUGUUGCUAUUUUACUUGAUUUUAGGAAUUUUAUAGUAACUAAAAUUUAUGUUAGAAAUCCUCAUGCUUUUAAUUAAGCUAAUUUGAUUUCUUAAAUAUUUAACAUCAAAUUGAGAGUUGAUUAAGAUUUAUAAUUUUUAUUUUUAUUUUUAUUUUUAGAAAAUAAACUAGACACACAAGUACUUAAGUAGAUUAGUUCUUUGGGCUGGUCUAAUUAGCUUAGUAGCUCAAAUGUACACACUAAUAAACUAGUUAAAUUGAUUGGGCUUAGCACACACGUACGUACACAGUACGUUCGUAUACGCACAUGUAUCAGGCCAACUCUCACGCCAGGACGCCCAUGUACGAGGUGAAAUCUCACGCAAGGAAAGCCCAACCUUACGUCUCUCUUUCUCCUCUCACGCGAGGAUGCACACACCCGAGCUUUCCAUGGCGACGCCGUGCUCUCGCCUUCCCCCGGCCGCGCCCGGCCGUCUCCGACACCGCUAAGGCGCGGUUCUGUUCGCCUCGAGGUGCUCCACCACUUCCCCCUCCUCGUUUUGAUCAUCUCGGUCUCAAUCACUCGUCCACGACCCCGAUUGAGUCGCCGUCUCUGCCACUACACUGGCCGCUCCUGGUCAACUCCGGCGCCGGCGAUAUGGUUUUCUGGCUCCCCUAGGUGUUCCCUACCUCUCGGCUCCGCUCGAUUCGAUUCUCGAGCCGUAUCUGGUCCGCCCCCAAAUCGAGAACCCUAGCUCGAUGUUGGCUCAAUUCGGCCGUCGCCGGCCGAUUCCGGCGGCGCCUCACCCCGGCGUGUCGCCUCCACGAACUCCACCUCCAAAAACUUCUGCCUCAACAUCGCCCUGCGCCGCCCUCGCGUGGCCCUGCCCUCGGCUAACCCUAGCCGUGGCUAGGUGGUUGACCGGCUCCCGCAUUUGUCCCUCUGGCUUUGCCUCUCGACGACGAGCUUGGCUUCCUCAUCAUCCUCCAUGAUUUCUACGUGACGCUAGCAGGACGGUGCCACGGACGCAACCCUGGCGCCUCGGUCCGCUGCCCUGUGGCCUUUGCCAUUGCGGAUGCUGCUGUUGCUCGUGAUGGAGCUGCUGCUGUGAGCUGUGGUGCUCGACAUCGAUGGACGGCGCUGCAAGCGCAACCUCGGUGUCAAAUAGCUCGCCUACGCCAUGUAUUCACUAUUGAUGCUUUGCUUGGUGGCUUGCUUAUGAGCUUAGAUAUAUACUUUAUUACUGUGCUGCAACUAUGGUACUACUUGGUUGGCCUGGGAUGAUUUCCUGGACCCUAAGUAGAUUCAUGUAUUAUGUUGGUUAUUAACUGUCGGCUUGUGGUGAUGACUAAAGCAUGUGCAUAUAUGAUAUUGGACAGUAGCUGUGUUGGAAUGCACAAACUGAUGCCUUUCCCGAGUUCUUGAAUAUGAUCUAGUUGCUGAUUAUCAACUAGAGAUGAUGUUUGCAUGGUUGGAUUUUAUUGGUGGAUCAUGAUGUUCCCCUUUUUGAAUAGCUAUAACUGAUAAGAACAGAUUUGGCUUGAUCUUGUAGCCUUGCCAGUGAUGCAAAGGCUGAGGCACUAUUUGUAAUAAGAACAGAUAUAUGUUGCUUAUUUUAUCCUCUAUGAUGAUUCAGCAUAGCACCACUAUGCAGAUCUGAGAGGAAUAUAUCUUUCUAUCUUCCUAGGUGAAAACCUAGUUGAAGGGUAGCUAAAUGAUUUUACUGUGUAUAAGGUUCCAUUUCCCCGAAAAUGUCUAUGGAAGAACAGAUAUUAUGUGAUAUAUAUUUAAGCUAGUGGUUGGUCUCUACCUGUUGCUCUAUAGCUUGAUAGCCUGUUGGUUCUUCUAGCUUUUGUGAUACUUUGCUUCUGGUAGCAUGCCUGCUCCUCCAUACUUCCUGAUCUGCUUCUUUAUGAUCUAGCUGAUGAAUGGUUUACUGCUAUCAACUGAACUAUUGAUAUGAUUUGGUUGGUUUGGUUAGUGGAGAUAUUGUGAAGGAGCUGCAGAUGAUUCUGCUGGUGUGCUCAAGAUGUGGUGCGGCUGGGAUAAGUUGGGAUGUGCUAGAAGAGCUGGUAGGACAGCUGCUGGGCUGUUUAUAUACAGCUGAACUAUUCAUGUGCUCGUGACAACACAGAGAUUGCAUGUGUGUGUGUGAGCUGCUAGGUAGGUUGCUCCCUCUCCAUGUGCAGGUUGCAAACUUGACUUUGUUUGCCUCAUUUGCAAGGCACGGUUCAACCUUGUACUUAUCCCUUGUUGGACAUUAUUUGAGAUACAACCAAGUGUAUAUCUCCUAUUGGUCCUCUGUGACUAAAUGGAUUCAAUUGAUGAGCUUAAAUAUUGAUAGCUCAAGUAUUAAUUAGACUUUGCUUAAUUAGCAAUAGACUUCGCAUUAAGUGCUUAGGAUCAUUUUGACCCUUCCAUGUCAAACAUGAUCCAAUUACAUAAGAUGGUGAGCUUUAUGGUUUCUAGCUAGAUUAGAGGGAAUUUAAGAUAAUAUAGCAUGGUUGCCUAGAAUUGAAUGGAAUCAAUCAAUUGUUGUCUGCUUGUCCCUUGUUGCCUGAGAAAUGAUUAGUGAUUGUCAAUGAAAAUGCCUCUUUGUUGCCUUUGA
Molecule: non-coding RNA, 3382 nt
Organism: Lolium perenne
Lineage: Eukaryota; Viridiplantae; Streptophyta; Magnoliopsida; Poales; Poaceae
Source: RefSeq, a predicted model, not a curated record